This is a long non-coding RNA of Xenia sp. Carnegie-2017, 85 nucleotides long. RefSeq lists it as uncharacterized. The transcript has 3 exons. The record is from RefSeq and is a predicted model, not a curated record. Lineage: Eukaryota; Metazoa; Cnidaria; Anthozoa; Malacalcyonacea; Xeniidae.
UGAUACAUGAUAUAGCUUUGCUUGCUUUAUAAUCAUUUUAAAACCCUGUUUCAAACCACUGAGGAUGAGGAUCCAAUGUACUCUG